RNAcentral lists this Y RNA (130 nucleotides) under Roseobacter sp. SK209-2-6. RNAcentral's name for it is "Y RNA-like". It matches the Rfam family "Y RNA-like". Rfam says of the family: In Deinococcus radiodurans Rsr is tethered via Y RNA to the exoribonuclease PNPase and channels single-stranded RNA into the PNPase cavity. Rsr and Y RNA enhance degradation of structured RNAs by PNPase. Lineage: Bacteria; Pseudomonadati; Pseudomonadota; Alphaproteobacteria; Rhodobacterales; Roseobacteraceae. The record is from Rfam by way of RNAcentral.
CUGGCGAAUGCCGGUGGAACUACAUACCCUACUGGUCGCGGGUUCGAAUCCCGCCAUCGCGCCCUGCGAUGUAGCUCAGAUGGAUAGAGCAGUUGGCCCCAAUGUUUCACCAAACCCUUGUCGCCGGGAC